CCUACGGGUGGCAGCAGUGGGGAAUAUUGGGCCAUGGGCGCAAGCCUGACCCAGCAACGCCGCGUGAAGGAAGAAGGCUUUCGGGUUGUAAACUUCUUUUCUGAGGGACGAAGAAAGUGACGGUACCUCAGGAAUAAGCCACGGCUAACUACGUGCCAGCAGCCGCGGUAAUACGUAGGUGGCAAGCGUGAUCCGGAUUUAUUGGGUGUAAAGGGAGUGUAGGCGGGAAAGCAAGUCAGAUGUGAAAACUCAGGGCUCAACCCUGAGCCUGCAUUUGAAACUGUUUUUCUUGAGUGCUGUAGAGGCAAUCGGAAGUCGGUGUGGAGCGGUGAAAUGCGUAGAUAUACGGAGGAACACCAGUGGCGAAGGCGGAUUGCUGGACAGUAACUGACGCUGAGGCGCGAAAGCGUGGGGAGCAAACAGGAUUAGAUACCCCUGUAGUC
Molecule: ribosomal RNA, 443 nt
Filed under: uncultured bacterium
Lineage: Bacteria
Description: partial 16S ribosomal RNA
Rfam family: Bacterial small subunit ribosomal RNA
Source: RNAcentral